GUAUUAGUUACAAUGAAGCCCAGCUCCCGUAUUAUAUCAAACAAAAUUAUUUCUCUUCUACGAGAUGGUCCUUCAACGCGUAAAGUAGCUAAAACGUGUGCUUUUUAAAAAAAUCUACAAAAACAUAGACGAGUUUUCGCUCAUGGACUGCCACCUG
This is a long non-coding RNA of Hylaeus volcanicus, 157 nucleotides long. RefSeq lists it as uncharacterized. The record is from RefSeq and is a predicted model, not a curated record. Lineage: Eukaryota; Metazoa; Arthropoda; Insecta; Hymenoptera; Colletidae. The transcript is spliced from 3 exons.